ACACCUUCCAUACUCUAUUUCGCACAUUAUGCACAUAGCUUAUACUUGCCUACUAUCCAUGAUUCUCCAUAAUCUUUUAUAAACUUCUGGUUUCUGUCAAGCAGUUCUAUAUGCUAACCUUUUAAGAACGCCUACACUUCUGCCGAGUAAACGGAGUGAAGAACAGUCGAAACAAGCAUAUAAAAUGUUAUCUGAUUGCUUCAGGUUCGGUAUGGGUAAUUCAACGUGCCGAGCUAAGACACUUGUACAGUACUUUGGAGAAGAUUUUGGUCAUGAGAAGUGUCUUUUGUGUGAUGUGUGUGUGGCUGGACCUCCUGAACCGCAAAACCUGAAGAUCGAGACAGAUAUUUUCUUGAGGGUACUUGCAGCUCAAUGUG
Papaver somniferum (opium poppy) is the source of this 377-nucleotide long non-coding RNA. RefSeq lists it as uncharacterized. The record is from RefSeq and is a predicted model, not a curated record. NCBI's taxonomy places the organism in Eukaryota, Viridiplantae, Streptophyta, Magnoliopsida, Ranunculales, Papaveraceae. The transcript has 3 exons.